AUAUGAAUUAGAAAGAGGGAGAGGGAGAGGGAGAGGGAGAGGGAGAGAGUUUUAGAGAGAGACAUUCUCUGAUCUUUAGAUUGGUUGCUUAGACUCUGAAACGGAUUCGGAUCAGUGUGUUGCUGAGUAAUUACGCGCUAGGGUUUCGAUUGAUUUCAUUCACUUCGUGGAAUCAAUCUAUCACAGGGCAUUGCAAUUCAACAUGAAAGAGUUUCUUUCUCAUUGCUUAAGGUUAAGCAAGGUGUUUAAGAUGAGUUCAUUGGAAAUCAUCAAGGACUGCUAGAUCAGUUGUCAUAUGCUGGUCAUGGAGAGCAGUGAAAGGUUCAGUGAUAAGGUCUUCUUAAAUGGAGACGUCUAUGUUGGUAAUUUCAAGGGAAUCUUUCCCCAUGGCAAGGGAAAGUAUACUUGGUCAGAUGGAAUGGUUUAUGAGGGUGAUUGGGAUGAAGGAAAAAUGACUGGGAAAGGACAGGUUUUUUGGCAAUCGGGAGCAACAUUUGAUGGUGAUUUCUCUGGGGGUUACCUUCAUGGCUUUGGCACCUUUACUAGUGCUGAUGGGUCUGUAUACAGAGGGUACUGGAGGAUGAACAUUCAACAUGGGCUUGGAAGGAAAGAGUACUGUAAUUCUGAUAUUUAUGAUGGUUCAUGGAAAGAGGGAAUACAUGAAGGCAGAGGUAGGUAUGUUUGGAGUAAUGGUAACACAUAUAUUGGGAAUUGGAAAGCUGGGAAAAUGUGUGGUAGAGGGGUCAUGAAAUGGGUGAGUGGUGAUCUUUUUGAUGGCUUUUGGUUGAAUGGGUUUAGACAUGGCUCAGGCUGUUACAGGUUUGCAGAUGGGAGUUAUUAUUUUGGGACAUGGACUAAGGGUCUGAAGGAUGGACAAGGAACAUACUAUCCUGCUGGAAGUAACGAUCCAUCACUGAAGAGGAAAGGGUUGCUAUUUCAUAGUCCAUUCUUAAAUUCAGAGGAGUGCAGGGUUCCCAGUCCUAGGAUCAAGCGUAGUCUUUCCGAGAAGAUUAUUAACAGCUUUUCAAAAGGUUCAAGUCGAUCCCAGAGGAGUACGCCAUUGGAUGAAGGUCGGAGCCUUUGUGAUUCCACCAGCAAGGUCUCAUCUUGCAACACUUCAUGCGUGUUAUCGCGUUCCUCUGAUGGGUGUCAGCAUGAGGUGCAGGAUAAUACUACUGUAGUUUUUGAAAGGGAAUACAUGCAAGGAGUUUUGAUCAAAGAAAGGAUUAGAAAAACUACAGGACUAUCAUACAAAAGUAAACAGCGGAAUAAGUUUCAUGCCAAAAAAGUGAAAAAGAGGUCAUGUAUUGACAUUUUUGAAGGUCAUAGGAGUUAUCAUCUGAUGCUUAAUCUGCAACUAGGAAUCAGGUACACUGUUGGAAAGAUCACACCAGUGCCUGAGCGUGAAGUUCGAGCUUCAGAUUUUGGAAAACAAGCUAGAAUAAGAAUGUAUUUUCCAAAGAAGGGCUCCCAGUUUACACCUGCACACUCUUCUAUUGAUUUCUAUUGGAAGGACUACUGCCCUAUGGUCUUCAGGAAUUUGAGGGAGAUGUUCAAGCUUGAUGCUGCAGAGUACAUGAUGUCCAUCUGUGGUGAUGACGGUCUGAGGGAGAUUUCUUCUCCAGGGAAAAGUGGCAGCAUUUUCUAUGUUUCUCACGACGAUAGGUUUUGCAUUAAGACUUUACGAAGAUCUGAACUGAAGGUUCUACUCAAUAUGCUGCCUAGCUAUUAUGAUCAUGUGAAAGCACAUGAAAACACCCUCAUAACAAAAUUUUUCGGGCUCCAUCAAAUAACAUUGAGAGGUGGAAAAAAGGUACGUUUUGUGGUCAUGGGGAAUAUGUUUUACACUGAAUUGCGAAUACACCGUCGUUUUGAUUUGAAGGGUUCAAAGCAAGGAAGAUUCACAAAACCGGAUGAGAUUGAUGAUAGUACCACUUUGAAAGAUCUCGAUUUAUCAUAUGAAUUUCAUAUGGACAAAUUACUGCGAGAGUCACUUUUUGAACAACUCAAACUAGACUGCAUGUUCUUAGAAUCUCAGCAAAUAAUUGAUUAUAGCCUUCUGUUGGGAGUGCAUUUUAGAGCUCCUGAGCAACUACAUGCCCUCUUGGAACCCCCUGAUGCACUACUGCACAAGCAUGACAGCUUGCCUCAAAUUGAUGUUUGCAGCUUAUGUUCUACUUCAUUUAGGUGAAAUCUCUCAAGGGGAGAUCUUGAUUCCUCCAAAGGGUCUGCUCCUAGUUACUCAUGAACCAAGCUUUGUCAGCUUUGCACCAGGUCCUCACAUUAGAGGAAAUACUUUGAGAGCAUUCUCUGUAGGGGACAAGGAAGUUGAUCUUCUUCUGCCUGGUAAUGCAAGGUUACGAGUGCAGGUAGGAGUGAACAUGCCAGCUCAGGCUAUUCGCAU
This is an RNA transcript of Camellia sinensis, 2404 nucleotides long. It is a transcript of the gene named phosphatidylinositol 4-phosphate 5-kinase 7, with no coding region annotated. The record is from RefSeq and is a predicted model, not a curated record. NCBI's taxonomy places the organism in Eukaryota, Viridiplantae, Streptophyta, Magnoliopsida, Ericales, Theaceae.